GAGGAGCUUGCGGCAGAUUAGCUAGUUGGUAAGGUAAUGGCUUACCAAGGCUACGAUCUGUAACCGGUCUAAGAGGACGGUCGGUCACACUGACACUGAAUAACGGGUCAGACUCCUACGGGAGGCAGCAGUCGGGAAUUUUGGGCAAUGGGCGAAAGCCUGACCCAGCAACGCCGCGUGAAGGAUGAAGUAUUUCGGUAUGUAAACUUCGAAAGAAUAGGAAGAAUUAAUGACGGUACUAUUUAUAAGGUCCGGCUAACUACGUGCCAGCAGCCGCGGUAAUACGUAGGGACCAAGCGUUGUUCGGAUUUACUGGGCGUAAAGGGCGCGUAGGCGGCGUGGUAAGUCACUUGUGAAAUCUCUGAGCUCAACUCAGAACGGCCAAGUGAUACUGCUGUGCUAGAGUGCAGAAGGGGCAAUCGGAAUUCUUGGUGUAGCGGUGAAAUGCGUAGAUAUCAAGAGG
Molecule: ribosomal RNA, 463 nt
Filed under: uncultured Acidobacteriota bacterium
Lineage: Bacteria; Pseudomonadati; Acidobacteriota
Description: bacterial SSU rRNA
Rfam family: Bacterial small subunit ribosomal RNA
Source: RNAcentral